CCCCCCACGCCCCCGCACCUCACACCACCCCACUCCCUUGUGGGAUGUGUGUGAUAUCCCUCAGGCACUCCUGGCUGCCCAAGAACAAAGGAAAGGAAAGAAAACAAAUGGUUAAGUGAUACAGAUCACAGUCCUACAGUACGCGAAUAUCCAUCAGUUUACAAAUAUCUUAGUAAAUUACAAGAAAAGGCAAUCUUAUCAAUAGCCUAAUCUUCAGAAACCUGUAGAUUCAGUUUCCUAGAGCCCCAACAUCAUCACCCCUCCAUAGUGAUAUGGGGACCAAAGGCAAGAAGGAAAUGGCAGGUAGAAAUAAAUUUCCUUAUAACCUGCAUCCCAUAGACAAAUACUUAAGGCAAAUAUAGAGUAUAACAUUUCUUCAGGAAACCCCUACUGUCCUAAUGUUAAUUCCUUACUAGAGGGAAAACAACCUUAGCUUGACAACAGCAAGGCCUCAGGUAUCCUAGGAGUCGUCUUUAACAUAUCAAAGUCCUUUUGGAAGCCUUCCUUUUGCCUUUACCUCCCCAACCCCAUGUUAUAUAACCAGUCAUUCUUCACAACUCCAGCACAGCUCUUUCUGCCCACUGGUCCUGUCCCUGUGCUUUAAUAAAAUCACCUUUUUUGCACCAAAGACAUCUUCAAGAAUUCUUUCUUGGCCAUCAGCCCCAAACCUCAUGAACCCCCACCAUCACCCCAAAACCUCAUCACUAAUAGCCUACAACCUAAACCCAGCAACUUCUGGCUGUAAAAGAGUUCUACAUUUCAUUGUGACUACUGCAGCAGUGUGUGUGUGUUUUCUCAAACUGUACUGUAGUUAGGAUCCUUGUCUUUUUUUAUCAUUUUAUUUGGUUUUAGAACCUGGAACUAUGCCGUCUUGACAUUUAUUUUACUUGUCACUCUAUAAUUCUGGUAGGCCAUAUCUGAAUUUUCAUUCUUUAGAAUUCUACAGAGCCUUGUCCAUGUACCUUCUUUUACAAACAUUUCUCAUUAAGUGUGUGUGUGUGUGUGUGUGUGUGUGUGUGUGUGUGUGUGUGUGUGUGUAUGAUAGUUAUUUAAGGGAAAAUCAAAGGUCCUGCCUGAUGUGGGAAACAAAGGCAGAAGGAAAUGUACAUAAAAUUAAAUUUACUUAUAACCUGCAGCCCAAUGACAAAUACUUGAGGCUGGCAGAGUAUAUAUAAAUAUAUAUAUUCAUUCCUCCAGAAACUCCCUACUGUCUUAAUGUUAAUGCUUUUUGCUAGAAGGAAAAACAACCUUAGCUUGACAACAGCAAGGCCUCAGGUAUCCUAGGAGUCGUCUUUAACAUAUGAAAGUCCUUUUUGAAACUUCCCCCCUGGCCUUUACCUCCCCAACUCCCAAGUAUGUAAUCAGUCACUCCUUGCAAUCUCACAAUCUCAGGGCAGCUUUUUCUGCCCACAGGUCCUGUCCCCAGGCUUUAAUAAAACCACCUUUUUGCAUCA
This 1454-nucleotide long non-coding RNA is filed under the name Felis catus (domestic cat). RNAcentral's name for it is "lncRNA (ENSFCAG00000047042.1)". Lineage: Eukaryota; Metazoa; Chordata; Mammalia; Carnivora; Felidae. The record is from RNAcentral.